This 482-nucleotide ribosomal RNA is filed under the name uncultured bacterium. RNAcentral describes it as "partial 16S ribosomal RNA". It matches the Rfam family "Bacterial small subunit ribosomal RNA", at positions 30 to 507 of the family's 1533-position model. The record is from RNAcentral.
AUUGAACGCUGGCGGCAUGCCUUACACAUGCAAGUCGAACGGUAACGGGCCUUCGGGUGCCGACGAGUGGCGAACGGGUGAGUAAUACAUCGGAACGUGCCCGAUCGUGGGGGAUAACGAGGCGAAAGCUUUGCUAAUACCGCAUACGAUCUACGGAUGAAAGCAGGGGACCGCAAGGCCUUGCGCGGACGGAGCGGCCGAUGGCAGAUUAGGUAGUUGGUGGGAUAAAAGCUUACCAAGCCGACGAUCUGUAGCUGGUCUGAGAGGAUGAUCAGCCACACUGGGACUGAGACACGGCCCAGACUCCUACGGGAGGCAGCAGUGGGGAAUCUUGGACAAUGGGCGCAAGCCUGAUACAGCCAUGCCGCGUGCAGGAUGAAGGCCUUCGGGUUGUAAACUGCUUUUGUACGGAACGAAAAGCCUUCUUUUAAUACAGGAGGGUCAUGACGGUACCGUAAGAAUAAGCACCGGCUAACUACGUG